GCGCUGCUGAAGAGUCCCAUAAUAGGACGAAACGGCCGUCCAGUGC
Molecule: non-coding RNA, 46 nt
Organism: Schistosoma mansoni
Lineage: Eukaryota; Metazoa; Platyhelminthes; Trematoda; Strigeidida; Schistosomatidae
Source: Rfam